UUGCCCUCUUGAAGGUCUUGAACACUGCUGGAAGCCUACUAGAUAUUUAAUGUAAUCACCAUGAUAAUGGCUAAGAUUUAUUAAGCAUCUGCUAUGUGCUUUAUGGUGCUAAGAACUUCUCAUGUAUUUACUCAUUGAAUCUUCACAAAAACCUUAUGAACAUCAGAGCUGAUGAAUACUCAGUCAGAAGAAAUGCAGGCCUGCAGGUUUGUCCACAAAGUGUUCCCAUCAACCGUGUGGAGGAGUUCAGCUAUUACCUUGACUUUGCCGAAGUCCUAGGCACUCCCAUGCCCUCAGAGUCUCAUUUUGAAUCCAGGCACUUAGGGAUGCUAUUUUUCCACAUCAAACAGCUUCCUCCCAGCCAAAGAAUUCUGGUGACAGUAGUGAAGAUAAUUUUCACUCCUGCUUACAGAAUGACAAAGCAAAAGCAAAGAGGAGAAGAAUGAAGUAAAGACAACCAAAGGAAAAGACUGAUGGCUCCUUAAGAAUGAUCUUGAUAAAGGAAUGGUGGCUGAGGGGUCCAUCUCCUAAACCACCCACCUUACUGACUCCCUAGAGCAAUGCCAUACAGAAAGCUGCACCUUGAGGGGAAGACACAAGAAUCCUGGAGUGGAAAAAAAUUGGGUAAUGAUGACAGCCUUCGAGGUCUUGAGAGUAAAGCAGAAGCAAAAAAAAAGUGUUAUUUUUAUCUUUUGAAGAUGGUUCCCUCUUAAGACUUUUGCGAAUGAUUAAGAUUUCAAUUAUGUUCCAGGAAAAAAAUAAGAUUUUUGCUUGACAAAAAAAAUUUUUGUCUAGAACAGGUGGGAAGGAAGAGAUAGUUUAGCCACAUCCAAGAGACCUGUAAAUUGGGUACAGUGAAGUGAAUGGUGUACCAGUCAUAAAAGAAUGUUAACUGGAGAAGUCUCUGCUGUCUUCCUGUAACUGAGGGGGGUGUAACCAUCCUUGUGGAAGCGUCCACUUUUAUUGAAGAUUGGCUAAAUAAAUCUGUGCCUACUGAAACUCAA
Long non-coding RNA from Homo sapiens (human), 1004 nucleotides. Ensembl annotates it as long intergenic non-protein coding RNA 2180. The record is from Ensembl. NCBI's taxonomy places the organism in Eukaryota, Metazoa, Chordata, Mammalia, Primates, Hominidae.